AUUGAACGCUGGCGGCAUGCCUUACACAUGCCAGUCGAACGGCAGCACGGGUGCUUGCACCUGGUGGCGAGUGGCGAACGGGUGAGUAAUACAUCGGAACAUGUCCUGUAGUGGGGGAUGGCCCGGCGAAAGCCGGAUUAAUACCGCAUACGAUCUACGGAUGAAAGCGGGGGACCUUCGGGCCUCGCGCUAUAGGGUUGGCCGAUGGCUGAUUAGCUAGUUGGUGGGGUAAAGGCCUACCAAGGCGACGAUCAGUAGCUGGUCUGAGAGGACGACCAGCCACACUGGGACUGAGACACGGCCCAGACUCCUACGGGAGGCAGCAGUGGGGAAUUUUGGACAAUGGGCGAAAGCCUGAUCCAGCAAUGCCGCGUGUGUGAAGAAGGCCUUCGGGUUGUAAAGCACUUUUGUCCGGAAAGAAAUCCUUGGCUCUAAUACAGUCGGGGGAUGACGGUACCGGAAGAAUAAGCACCGGCUAACUACGUG
This 486-nucleotide ribosomal RNA is filed under the name uncultured bacterium. Its description in RNAcentral is "partial 16S ribosomal RNA". It matches the Rfam family "Bacterial small subunit ribosomal RNA", at positions 30 to 507 of the family's 1533-position model. The record is from RNAcentral.